UGGGGAAUAUUGCACAAUGGGCGCAAGCCUGAUGCAGCCAUGCCGCGUGUAUGAAGAAGGCCUUCGGGUUGUAAAGUACUUUCAGCGGGGAGGAAGGCGAUAAGGUUAAUAACCUUGUCGAUUGACGUUACCCGCAGAAGAAGCACCGGCUAACUCCGUGCCAGCAGCCGCGGUAAUACGGAGGGUGCAAGCGUUAAUCGGAAUUACUGGGCGUAAAGCGCACGCAGGCGGUCUGUCAAGUCGGAUGUGAGAUCCCCGGGCUCAACCUGGGAACUGCAUUCGAAACUGGCAGGCUAGAGUCUUGUAGAGGGGGGUAGAAUUCCAGGUGUAGCGGUGAAAUGCGUAGAGAUCUGGAGGAAUACCGGUGGCGAAGGCGGCCCCCUGGACAAAGACUGACGCUCAGGUGCGAAAGCGUGGGGAGCAAACA
RNAcentral lists this ribosomal RNA (427 nucleotides) under uncultured bacterium. RNAcentral describes it as "partial 16S ribosomal RNA". It matches the Rfam family "Bacterial small subunit ribosomal RNA", at positions 355 to 774 of the family's 1533-position model. The record is from RNAcentral.